UGGGGAAUAUUGGACAAUGGGGGGAACCCUGAUCCAGCCAUGCCGCGUGUGUGAAGAAGGCCUUAUGGUUGUAAAGCACUUUAAGCGAGGAGGAGGGUACUGGUAUUAAUACUACCAGCUACUGGACGUUACUCGCAGAAUAAGCACCGGCUAACUCUGUGCCAGCAGCCGCGGUAAUACAGAGGGUGCGAGCGUUAAUCGGAUUUACUGGGCGUAAAGCGUGCGUAGGCGGCUAAUUGAGUCGGAUGUGAAAUCCCCGAGCUUAACUUGGGAAUUGCAUUCGAUACUGGUUAGCUAGAGUGUGGGAGAGGAUGGUAGAAUUCCAGGUGUAGCGGUGAAAUGCGUAGAGAUCUGGAGGAAUACCGAUGGCGAAGGCAGCCAUCUGGCCUAAUACUGACGCUGAGGUACGAAAGCAUGGGGAGCAAACAGG
RNAcentral lists this ribosomal RNA (430 nucleotides) under Pseudomonadota bacterium. Its description in RNAcentral is "Proteobacteria bacterium partial 16S ribosomal RNA". It matches the Rfam family "Bacterial small subunit ribosomal RNA", at positions 355 to 776 of the family's 1533-position model. Lineage: Bacteria; Pseudomonadati; Pseudomonadota. The record is from RNAcentral.